RNAcentral lists this ribosomal RNA (466 nucleotides) under uncultured bacterium. RNAcentral's name for it is "partial 16S ribosomal RNA". It matches the Rfam family "Bacterial small subunit ribosomal RNA", at positions 28 to 507 of the family's 1533-position model. The record is from RNAcentral.
GAUGAACGCUGGCUGCGUGCUUAACACAUGCAAGUCGAACGGAAAGGCCACAGCUUGCUGUGGUACUCGAGUGGCGAACGGGUGAGUAACACGUGGGGGAUCUGCCCUGUAAUUCGGGAUAAGCUUGGGAAACUGGGUCUAAUACCGGAUAGGAAUCACAUGUGGGUGUGUGGUUGGAAAGCUUUUGCGGUAUGGGAUGAGCUCGCGGCCUAUCAGCUUGUUGGUGGGGUAAUGGCCUACCAAGGCGUCGACGGGUAGCCGGCCUGAGAGGGUGUACGGCCUCAUUGGGACUGAGGUACGGCCCAGACUCCUCCGGGAGGCAGCAGUGGGGAUAAUUGCACGAGAGGCGCAAGCCUGAUGCAGCGACGCCGCGUGGGGGAUAACGGCCUUCGGGUUGUAAACGCCUUUCGUCGGGGACAGACCGAAAGUGACGGUACCUGGAUAAGAAGCCCCGGCUAACUACGUG